RNAcentral lists this small RNA (86 nucleotides) under Salmonella enterica subsp. enterica serovar Infantis. RNAcentral's name for it is "partial RtT sRNA". It matches the Rfam family "RtT RNA", at positions 43 to 130 of the family's 130-position model. Rfam says of the family: This family represents a bacterial cis-regulatory element known as RtT RNA. The exact function of RtT is unknown although it is thought that it may be involved in changing the cellular response in relation to amino acid starvation. RNAcentral also lists the same sequence under 4 other names. The record is from RNAcentral. Lineage: Bacteria; Pseudomonadati; Pseudomonadota; Gammaproteobacteria; Enterobacterales; Enterobacteriaceae.
AACGAGAAUAAAGCGUGAAGGAUAACGUUGCGUCAGCAACGGCCCGUAGGGCGAGGCGAAGCCGAGUCAUCCUGCACGACCCACCA